GACUUUUAAGGUCCUUUCUCACUCUGUGAGAACCCAAAGCACUAUGAAACUAUAAAAUGCUUGUGUCUAAACAACUAUCCAUGGGCUUUUGAAAGUUUAGCUUAGUAGAGAUAACACACAUAGAGACACAAAAAAAGUCACUUCUAGAGGGAGAUUACUGUAGGAUGAAAGGUAAAAGAUUGCACCUCCUUUUGACUGAUCCUUUCCUUCCUUCAUUCACAUCUACAUCACCUAAGAGAAGGAGCUAAUACAGAACCAGGAUGGUGCUUCAAGCUGGUGCUGACUUUAAGCCUCCUGAGAAAUUGGUUUGGUGACACCUCUUUCAGCAAGACUUUUCUAGACUGCAAGGCCCUUCCCGCAGCUCAGCAGUGAGAAGUGGAAACCAGAAGAACAGAAACCAAGUGUAUUGUUUUUCACCUGGAAGAAGGUGAGCUAUUAAAGCUCCAAGGA
Molecule: long non-coding RNA, 450 nt
Filed under: Cyanistes caeruleus (blue tit)
Lineage: Eukaryota; Metazoa; Chordata; Aves; Passeriformes; Paridae
Description: lncRNA (ENSCCEG00000019729.1)
Source: RNAcentral